RNAcentral lists this ribosomal RNA (441 nucleotides) under uncultured bacterium. RNAcentral describes it as "partial 16S ribosomal RNA". It matches the Rfam family "Bacterial small subunit ribosomal RNA", at positions 338 to 795 of the family's 1533-position model. The record is from RNAcentral.
CCUACGGGAGGCAGCAGUCGGGAAUAUUGCGCAAUGGAGGAAACUCUGACGCAGUGACGCCGCGUGCAGGAAGAAGGUUUUCGGAUUGUAAACUGCUUUAGACAGGGAAGAAAAACGACAGUACCUGUAGGCUACGCGCCGACUACGUAGGUGCGAGCAGCCGCGGGAAUACGUAGGGAGCACGCGUUAUCCGGCUUUAUUGGGUGUAAAGGGUGCGUAGACGGAGAAGCAAGUUAGUUGUGAACUCCCUCGGCUUAACUGAGGAACUGCAACUAAAACUACUUCCCUUGAGUACUGGAGAGGAAAGUGGAAUUCCUAGUGUAGCGGUGAAAUGCGUAGAUAUUAGGAGGAACACCAGUGGCGAAGGCGACUUGCUGGACAGUAACUGACGUUGAGGCACGAAAGUGUGGGGAGCAAACAGGAUUAGAUACCCGAGUAGUC